Mauremys reevesii (Reeves's turtle) is the source of this 805-nucleotide long non-coding RNA. RefSeq lists it as uncharacterized. NCBI's taxonomy places the organism in Eukaryota, Metazoa, Chordata, Testudines, Geoemydidae. The record is from RefSeq and is a predicted model, not a curated record. The transcript is spliced from 5 exons.
GCAGGGUGUAAGAAAGCUCCUGCCGGGCUCUGUGUCCGCAGGAGAAAAGCUCAGAAGCAGGGCAGAGUGAGUGCUCUCCAGGCAGGUAGGCCUGGGAGAGACCCUGUCCAAGCAGGGAAAAGACUGCAAUAGCCCAAGUGGAAAUGACUGUGGAGAAGAACAAACUCCAGGCAGGAGCCAGCCUGCUAGCUCAGUGCGUGGAUAGCUCCAAGCCCUUCUCCCUGGGCUCUCUGUGGGAGCUGGAUGCAAGGUGACGUGUGAAGGACCUUUGGCUUCCAGAUCUGUCAUCUCCAGGUUCAGCAUGGACAAGGAUCAAUGGGCAGAGGACUGCUUGGGUAACAGACAUAAGGAGAGUGGAGCUCAGAAGAAGAGAAUGGAGGGAAAACAGCCCAACUCCUCAUCUCUAAUGGGCUGGGCUGCACACUGAAGAUGGAGGAACUGGACACAGGACUCCAGCAGCGGUUGCACCACUAUGAAAUAUACAGGAAUCGAAGCACUUGGCAUCCAGAGACUUUCAGAGCCGCGAGAAGAAGAGCUGCUUUCCAUCACAGUUAGCUCUGUAACUAAGCCUGAGUGGUACCUAGCUAGACCUGCUCUGGAUGCAUCACAGACAGAGUAAAACUUCCCAAAGCUCUAAGUGCCAAAGUUGUUUUGGAAAAUGGGACUUCUGAAAAUGUUAACCUUGGUAGGUUAUCCAGACCAGGGAUAGGUUAGCCUGAGCCACAGUGGUGGAAAUUCACAAUGAUUCAAAAUGAUGGCGUUGAGUAGUAAAUAGCAGGGCAGGAAACAGUUUUCACAUCCCAUG